This 73-nucleotide transfer RNA is filed under the name Trichonephila clavata. It matches the Rfam family "tRNA". Rfam says of the family: Transfer RNA (tRNA) molecules are approximately 80 nucleotides in length. Their secondary structure includes four short double-helical elements and three loops (D, anti-codon, and T loops). Further hydrogen bonds mediate the characteristic L-shaped molecular structure. tRNAs have two regions of fundamental functional importance: the anti-codon, which is responsible for specific mRNA codon recognition, and the 3' end, to which the tRNAs corresponding amino acid is attached (by aminoacyl-tRNA synthetases). tRNAs cope with the degeneracy of the genetic code in two manners: having more than one tRNA (with a specific anti-codon) for a particular amino acid; and 'wobble' base-pairing, i.e. permitting non-standard base-pairing at the 3rd anti-codon position. The record is from Rfam by way of RNAcentral. Lineage: Eukaryota; Metazoa; Arthropoda; Arachnida; Araneae; Nephilidae.
GUCUCUGUAGCGCAAUGGAUAGCGCGUUGGACUUCUAAUCCAAAGGUUAUGGAUUCGAAUCCAAUCUGGGAUG